GCCGGGUUAGCUCAGUGGUAGAGCAACGCACUUGUAAUGCGUAGGCCGUGGGUUCAACCCCCACACCCGGCUCCA
This 75-nucleotide transfer RNA is filed under the name Acidimicrobiaceae bacterium. RNAcentral describes it as "tRNA-Thr". It matches the Rfam family "tRNA". From Rfam's summary of the family: Transfer RNA (tRNA) molecules are approximately 80 nucleotides in length. Their secondary structure includes four short double-helical elements and three loops (D, anti-codon, and T loops). Further hydrogen bonds mediate the characteristic L-shaped molecular structure. tRNAs have two regions of fundamental functional importance: the anti-codon, which is responsible for specific mRNA codon recognition, and the 3' end, to which the tRNAs corresponding amino acid is attached (by aminoacyl-tRNA synthetases). tRNAs cope with the degeneracy of the genetic code in two manners: having more than one tRNA (with a specific anti-codon) for a particular amino acid; and 'wobble' base-pairing, i.e. permitting non-standard base-pairing at the 3rd anti-codon position. RNAcentral also lists the same sequence under 4 other names. The record is from RNAcentral. Lineage: Bacteria; Bacillati; Actinomycetota; Acidimicrobiia; Acidimicrobiales; Acidimicrobiaceae.